AAGGAUCAUUAUUGAAAUAAACCUGAUAAGUUGCUGCUGGUUCUCUAGGGAGCAUGUGCACACUUGUCAUCUUUGUAUCUUCACCUGUGCACCUUUUGUAGACCUGACUAUCUCUCUGACUGCUUUUAGCACUCAGGAUUGAGGAUUGACUUUCUGUCUCUUCUUACAUUUUCAGGUCUAUGUUUAUUCAUAUACCCUAAUGCAUGUUUAUAGAAUGUAAUCAAUGGGCCUUUGUGCCUAUAAAUUUAUACAACUUUCAGCAACGGAUCUCUUGGCUCUC
RNAcentral lists this unclassified non-coding RNA (280 nucleotides) under uncultured fungus. Its description in RNAcentral is "partial contains 18S rRNA, ITS1, 5.8S rRNA, ITS2 and 28S rRNA". The record is from RNAcentral. Lineage: Eukaryota; Fungi.